This 500-nucleotide ribosomal RNA is filed under the name uncultured bacterium. RNAcentral describes it as "partial 16S ribosomal RNA". It matches the Rfam family "Bacterial small subunit ribosomal RNA", at positions 30 to 523 of the family's 1533-position model. The record is from RNAcentral.
AUUGAACGCUGGCGGCAUGCCUUACACAUGCAAGUCGAACGGCAGCACGGGAGCAAUCCUGGUGGCGAGUGGCGAACGGGUGAGUAAAGUAUCGGAACGUGCCCAGUCGUGGGGGAUAACGUAGCGAAAGUUACGCUAAUACCGCAUACGAUCUAUGGAUGAAAGCGGGGGAUCGCAAGACCUCGCGCGAUUGGAGCGGCCGAUAUCAGAUUAGGUAGUUGGUGGGGUAAAGGCUCACCAAGCCGACGAUCUGUAGCUGGUCUGAGAGGACGACCAGCAAAACUGGGACUGAGACACGGCCCAGACUCCUACGGGAGGCAGCAGUGGGGAAUUUUGGACAAUGGGCGAAAGCCUGAUCCAGCCAUGCCGCGUGCAGGAUGAAGGCCUUCGGGUUGUAAACUGCUUUUGUACGGAACGAAAAGGUUUGGGCUAAUAAGCUGAGCUCAUGACGGUACCGUAAGAAUAAGCACCGGCUAACUACGUGCCAGCAGCCGCGGUAA